Molecule: ribosomal RNA, 884 nt
Filed under: uncultured Actinomycetes bacterium
Lineage: Bacteria; Bacillati; Actinomycetota; Actinomycetes
Description: bacterial SSU rRNA
Rfam family: Bacterial small subunit ribosomal RNA
Source: RNAcentral
GGCGGUGCGCCUUAUGCAUGCAAGUCGAGCGAAGCUUUUCAGUAGUUUACUACAGAAAAUGACUGAGCGGCGAACGGGUGAGUAACGCGUGAGCAAUCUACCUUAGUUACAGGGAUAGCCCGAGGAAACUCGGAUUAAUACCUGAUAUUCUUUAUUUCUCGCAUGAGAAUAAAAGGAAAGGUCAGCCGAACUAAGAUGAGCUCGCGUUCUAUCAGCUAGUUGGUGAGGUAAAAGCUUACCAAGGCUACGACGGAUAGCUGGUCUGAGAGGACGAUCAGCCACACUGGGACUGAGACACGGCCCAGACUCCUACGGGAGGCUGCAGCAGGGAAUAUUGUGCAAUGAACGAAAGUUUGACACAGCGACACCGCGUGUGGGAUGACGGAUCUAGGUUUGUAAACCACUUUCAGGAGGGAAGAAAAUGACGGUACCUCCACAAGAAGCCCCGGCCAACUACGUGCCAGCAGCCGCGGUAAUACGUAGGGGGCGAGCGUUGUCCGGAUUUAUUGGGCGUAAAGAGCUCGUAGGCGGUUCAACAAGUCGGUCGUGAAAGUUCAGGGCUCAACCCUGAAAUGUCGAUCGAUACUGUUGUGACUAGGAUACGGUAGAGGUGAGUGGAAUUCCGAGUGUAGCGGUGAAAUGCGUAGAUAUUCGGAGGAACACCAAUUGCGAAGGCAGCUCACUGGACCGCUAUCGACGCUGAGGAGCGAAAGCUAGGGGAGCAAACAGGAUUAGAUACCCUGGUAGUCCUAGCUGUAAACGAUGGAUACUAGACGUAGGAACUGGAUUGACGGUUUCUGUGUCGUAGCUAACGCGUUAAGUAUCCCGCCUGGGGAGUACGGUCGCAAGACUAAAACUCAAAGGAAUUGACGGGACCCCGCACA